GGGACAACGUUUCGAAAGGAACGCUAAUACCGCAUACGUCCUACGGGAGAAAGCAGGGGACCUUCGGGCCUUGCGCUAUCAGAUGAGCCUAGGUCGGAUUAGCUAGUUGGUGGGGUAAUGGCUCACCAAGGCGACGAUCCGUAACUGGUCUGAGAGGAUGAUCAGUCACACUGGAACUGAGACACGGUCCAGACUCCUACGGGAGGCAGCAGUGGGGAAUAUUGGACAAUGGGCGAAAGCCUGAUCCAGCCAUGCCGCGUGUGUGAAGAAGGUCUUCGGAUUGUAAAGCACUUUAAGUUGGGAGGAAGGGCAGUAAGUUAAUACCUUGCUGUUUUGACGUUACCGACAGAAUAAGCACCGGCUAACUCUGUGCCAGCAGCCGCGGUAAUACAGAGGGUGCUAGCGUUAAUCGGAAUUACUGGGCGUAAAGCGCGCGUAGGUGGUUUGUUAAGUUGGAUGUGAAAGCCCCGGGCUCAACCUGGGAACUGCAUCCAAAACUGGCAAGCUAGAGUACGGUAGAGGGUGGUGGAAUUUCCUGUG
RNAcentral lists this ribosomal RNA (540 nucleotides) under Pseudomonas putida. Its description in RNAcentral is "bacterial SSU rRNA". It matches the Rfam family "Bacterial small subunit ribosomal RNA", at positions 140 to 675 of the family's 1533-position model. Lineage: Bacteria; Pseudomonadati; Pseudomonadota; Gammaproteobacteria; Pseudomonadales; Pseudomonadaceae. The record is from RNAcentral.